UCGAGAAUUUUUCUCAAUGGGGGAAACCCUGAAGGAGCGACGCCGCGUGGAGGAUGAAGGUCUUCGGAUUGUAAACUCCUGUCAUGAGGGAGCAAGGCAAGGCGUUAACUGCGUUCUUGUUUGAUAGUACCUCAAGAGGAAGGGACGGCUAACUCUGUGCCAGCAGCCGCGGUAAUACAGAGGUCCCGAGCGUUGUUCGGAUUCAUUGGGCGUAAAGGGUGCGUAGGCGGUUGGGUAAGUCAGGUGUGAAAUUCCGGAGCUUAACUGCGGAACUGCACUUGAUACUGCUCGACUUGAGUGCUGGAGAGGAGACUGGAAUUCACGGUGUAGCAGUGAAAUGCGUAGAUAUCGUGAGGAAGGCCAGUGGCGAAGGCGAGUCUCUGGACAGCAACUGACGCUG
RNAcentral lists this ribosomal RNA (400 nucleotides) under uncultured bacterium. RNAcentral's name for it is "bacterial SSU rRNA". It matches the Rfam family "Bacterial small subunit ribosomal RNA", at positions 355 to 748 of the family's 1533-position model. The record is from RNAcentral.